Frankliniella occidentalis (western flower thrips) is the source of this 650-nucleotide long non-coding RNA. RefSeq lists it as uncharacterized. NCBI's taxonomy places the organism in Eukaryota, Metazoa, Arthropoda, Insecta, Thysanoptera, Thripidae. The record is from RefSeq and is a predicted model, not a curated record. The transcript is spliced from 2 exons.
CUGGAGGAUGUUGAGUUGCGCAGCCUGACAAGAAGUAGAGAGAAAUCAGUUCGGCAUAGAAACACAAUCGGAUUUCAUAACAUUUCGCCCAAAAAUUAUUAUGAAUAAAUUUGUUUACCAGCAGGUUAGGAUGAAGAGAGACCAUCUCCAUCACCAUCUUCAUCAUCAGCAUCAGGUUCUGCUUCAUCAUCUCCAUUGCUGCCUGAUGGUGAAGCUGAAUUCUCAGUAUCACGCCUUGAUAUACCGAUAAAUCGAGGUAAUGUAAGCAAAAGAGUGGGAAGAUAGCAAUUUUAGUAGAAGGGUUAGGCAAAAGUCUUUUGAGAUAUACCAAUGCAAGCAAAUAGGAAUUCAAACUUUACAGUUACAAGAAGUUUUUUGUUGUUGUUUUUUUAAAUUAAUAAAUGAAGAGCACAGUCUAAAUUGUUAGGCCAAGCAACAUUUAUAUUUUCUGAAUGCUUACCUAGUUUGUGUGUGCUCCAACUGAACUUGUAAGCUAUCAACUUGUUCCUGCAGUUCAUCAUUUGCCCUUUGAAGUUUCCUGUUAUGUAAAACCAAAUUAUUAAUCAUUUUCAUGACAACAAAUUCAAAAUGAUCACCAUAUAUAGAUACCUUAUGUUAUUUGAUGUUGCAUCUACUUCAUCUUCAGCCAC